This 468-nucleotide ribosomal RNA is filed under the name uncultured bacterium. RNAcentral describes it as "partial 16S ribosomal RNA". It matches the Rfam family "Bacterial small subunit ribosomal RNA", at positions 28 to 507 of the family's 1533-position model. The record is from RNAcentral.
GACGAACGCUGGCGGCGUGCUUAACACAUGCAAGUCGAACGGAAAGGCCCUGCUUUUGUGGGGUGCUCGAUUGGCGAACGGGUGAGUAACACGUGAGUAACCUGCCCUUGACUUUGGGAUAACUUCAGGAAACUGGGGCUAAUACCGGAUAGGAUCUCCUGCUGCACGGUGUGGGUUGGAAAGUUUCGGCGGUGGGGGAUGGACUCGCGGCUUAUCAGCUUGUUGGUGGGGUUGUGGCUUACCAAGGCUUUGACGGGUAGCCGGCCUGAGAGGGUGACCGGCCACAUUGGGACUGAGAUACGGCACAGACUCCUACGGGAGGCAGCAGUGGGGAAUAUUGCACAAUGGGCGGAAGCCUGAUGCAGCAACGCCGCGUGCGGGAUGACGGCCUUCGGGUUGUAAACCGCUUUCGCCUGUGACGAAGCGUGAGUGACGGUAAUGGGUAAAGAAGCACCGGCUAACUACGUG